GAUGAACGCUGGCGGCGUGCCUAAUACAUGCAAGUCGAGCGAACAGACGAGGAGCUUGCUCCUCUGACGUUAGCGGCGGACGGGUGAGUAACACGUGGAUAACCUACCUAUAAGACUGGGAUAACUUCGGGAAACCGGAGCUAAUACCGGAUAAUAUAUUGAACCGCAUGGUUCAAUAGUGAAAGACGGUUUUGCUGUCACUUAUAGAUGGAUCCGCGCCGCAUUAGCUAGUUGGUAAGGUAACGGCUUACCAAGGCAACGAUGCGUAGCCGACCUGAGAGGGUGAUCGGCCACACUGGAACUGAGACACGGUCCAGACUCCUACGGGAGGCAGCAGUAGGGAAUCUUCCGGAAUGGGCGAAAGCCUGACGGAGCAACGCCGCGUGAGUGAUGAAGGUCUUCGGAUCGUAAAACUCUGUUAUUAGGGAAGAACAAAUGUGUAAGUAACUAUGCACGUCUUGACGGUACCUAAUCAGAAAGCCACGGCUAACUACGU
This 496-nucleotide ribosomal RNA is filed under the name uncultured bacterium. RNAcentral's name for it is "partial 16S ribosomal RNA". It matches the Rfam family "Bacterial small subunit ribosomal RNA", at positions 28 to 506 of the family's 1533-position model. The record is from RNAcentral.